UUAUAAAUGUCACAAGCUUUGCAAAAUCAUUUAUAAAUCCACUGAAUGUACAUCUUAUAAAACUAACCUUGGGGAUACAUCUAUUGAAUCAUCAAAACAAAACAGACAUCAAACUGAAAACACCAGAGAACCUUGCCAAUCUAUAAACUGCGUAAACUGUUUAAAUUUGUGUUCUAACACUAGUCCAAAUCAAGGAAUCCACAUAGGAAAGAAAAAACACAAUGGCACAACACUUGAUAAGGUUUUCCACUCUAAACAAAAACUCAUGCUGAAACAAACCAAUAGUGGAAAGAAACCUUACAAAUGUAGUGAAUGUGACAAAUGUUUUACCAAGAAAUGUGAUCUUGGUAUUCAUCAGAGAAUUCAUAAACCGGAGAAACCUUACAAAUGUAGUGAAUGUCUUAAAUCUUUUACCCAGAAAUGCAAUCUUAGAAGACAUCAGAGAAUUCAUACAGGAGAGAAACCUUACAAAUGUAGUGAAUGUGACAAAUGUUUUACCAACAAAUGCAGUCUUAUUAUUCAUCAGAGAAUUCAUACAGGAGAGAA
RNAcentral lists this long non-coding RNA (546 nucleotides) under Rattus norvegicus (Norway rat). Its description in RNAcentral is "long non-coding RNA NONRATT002229". Lineage: Eukaryota; Metazoa; Chordata; Mammalia; Rodentia; Muridae. The record is from RNAcentral.